GACAAUCAUCUCAUUUCUACGCCACACAUCAUCUAAGCUAGCAUAAUAGACCGAAAUCUCACGAUUCUCGAGAGGAGGAUUCGUCUCUUCAAGGACGCUUCCAUAAUCUAGAAUUUCCUCAUGAGUUGGGUAAAAUGAGUAAGCGAUAGUCGGAUUCACGGUAGGCUCUUCAGGACCUUGUGCCGUGGUUUUCCUCUUCUGGGGGUGUGAAUCCUUUGAACCAAGGGGUCUGCCACGCUUUUUGUGUAGGGGCAGAUGAUUGGC
RNAcentral lists this long non-coding RNA (264 nucleotides) under Malus domestica (apple). Its description in RNAcentral is "long non-coding RNA (MDOM_LNC009422)". Lineage: Eukaryota; Viridiplantae; Streptophyta; Magnoliopsida; Rosales; Rosaceae. The record is from RNAcentral.